Molecule: long non-coding RNA, 668 nt
Organism: Leucoraja erinaceus (little skate)
Lineage: Eukaryota; Metazoa; Chordata; Chondrichthyes; Rajiformes; Rajidae
Exons: 3
Source: RefSeq, a predicted model, not a curated record
UUAUGCUCCACACCUGUGGAACAAGCUUCCUGAACACCUGAGGUGUGCACAGACUGUAAGCGCAUUUAAAUCAGGCCUAAAAACACUGUUGUUUACUAUAGCUUGUCCAUAACCCGACAUGCAGGCAGUCAACUGCUACUUCGAGGCAAUCGAGACUCCCGAUGUUGAAGUGGGUGAUGGAAGAUCGCGCAGUCGAUUUUAAACCGCGGCAAGCGAUGAAAGGCCCUGCGAACAGGCCGAUUCACGCCUUACGAUUCGGAGCGGACGAAGCAGCUGUUGCUGGAGCUCCCGAAAAUUGGUCGCCAACCAGGGAUCAGCAAGUUCCAGAUGUUGCAGUCCACAGGGCCCAUGGCUGAAGCCUCCAAAGUCGAGUCGCAGCUGCAUCGCAGCAUACCCUCCGAAGUCAGCCAGCUCCGCAAUGAUAUCUCAUCAUAAUUGUCUGAUUCAUUUCCCCCGCUUAGAAGCCAAUUGCAUUGAGGUUUCAUUGCAUCAAAAGCGACAUCCAGGAAUCAUGUUACCAAGGCAACCUCAUAUACAUCAUGGAAUAGUUUUGCUUCUGAUAAAGAGCCUUCACUGUGAUGAUUCCCUGUAAUCAGCAAUGGACUACUGUUGACUCUUUCUAUUCUGCAACUUGUUAUGCAGGCAACCCCUAAAUUAUUGGGGGGGGG